Molecule: long non-coding RNA, 1455 nt
Organism: Brassica napus (rape)
Lineage: Eukaryota; Viridiplantae; Streptophyta; Magnoliopsida; Brassicales; Brassicaceae
Exons: 3
Source: RefSeq, a predicted model, not a curated record
CAAAUUUUUUUUUGUUUGUAAAACUAUUUAUUAAAAUUAUUUUCAUAAAUAUUAAAGGGUAUUAUAGAAAAAUAUGACACAAAAUAUAGAUUAGUCUAAAGGGACAUAAUUACUAUUUUUUUGCUCUAAAAAAACAGUUUUCCCAAUGUUUUUUUACCUGGAGAGAAUCAUAAUGUCUGAAAGAUCCAUCAUUCAGUUACUGUGCAGAUGCUCCUGCACAAACACAUAGUAAAACAAGAAAUUAUCAUCUCUUAAUUGGUGUAACAAGUUCAAUACUUUGUAUCAUUUUCUUGUGUUUGGGAGUUCACUUUUGGAGGCGAUGUGUCAGAGAUGAAACAAGAGGAGAUAGAGGUACUGUUUCACUUUGAGGCAACUUAGAACCGCCACAAACAACUUUGACCAAGCCAACAAGAUUGGAGAAGGUGGCUUUGGAUCUGUGUUCAAGGAAAGAAUAGUCAGAGGCUUGAGUGGAAAACAAGGCAGAAUAUAUGCAUAGGAAUAGCGAAAGGACUAAUGUUUCUUCAUGAGGAGUCAAUGGUUAAGAUCAUUCACAGAGAUAUCAAAGGAACCAUUGUAAUAUUAGAUAAGGACCUUAACGCUAAGAUAUCGGAUUUCGGAUUGGCUAGACUGCACGAAGAUGAGAAGAGUCACAUUAGCACCUGAGUUGCAGGAACAAUUGGAUAUAUGGCUACUGAAUAUGCAAUGAGAGGUUAUCUAACAGAAAGGCUGAUGUGUAUAGCUUUGGCAUUGUGGCAAUGGAGAUUGUUAGCGGAAAGAGCAAUGCAAAUUCCACACCUGAACCAGAGCUUGUGGCCUGGUGGUGAUUAACUUGAGGGCAAAAGCCCAAUAAGGUGAAGUCACCAGUAUUACUAUUCGAGUUCCGGCCACUGGAAAAUUAACUUUUUGGCAUCGCCAGAGACAGAGAACCGACACGUGGAAACACGUGAAUAGUUUGGACAACUUCUGUGGGACAGGAUAUCCCUGUAUAAUUCAAAAAAAAUUACACACCUGAACAUGAAUCUUGUGUUGGACUUAUAGAUUGGGUACUGACAAACUUUGUCUAAGAGACACAUAUAAUUGGUUGCUCAUUGUUUAGUACGAGCUUCUCUUCCUUCUUUUACUCCUUCAUGGUGUUUUUACAAAAAAAAUUCUAGGCUUUCUUGCUGCACAAGAAAGGAGAUUUUGCAGGAAUAAUAGAUCCAGAGCUAGAGGGCAAAUUAGAUAUAGCUGAGGCAGACAGAAUGAUCAAAGUUGGGCUUCUUUGCACAAACAUGUCUCAGACACUAAGACCAAAUAUGUCGGAAGUUGUGAAGAUGCUACAAGGAGAGACUGAGAUAAAACAGAGCAUCUCGGACCUAGUGUGUACGGAGAUGACUUGCAGUUCAAGGAAACAUUAGAGACAGGGAUGUCACCGUUUCCUUCAGAUUAUGCCAUGUCUGUUACAUCGUCUUCUCC